RNAcentral lists this long non-coding RNA (954 nucleotides) under Triticum aestivum (bread wheat). RNAcentral's name for it is "long non-coding RNA (TAES_LNC022463)". Lineage: Eukaryota; Viridiplantae; Streptophyta; Magnoliopsida; Poales; Poaceae. The record is from RNAcentral.
UCCCCUUUGUUAAAAUCUAAGUGCAGGUCUCUCUUCUCUGGCGAGUCAUUCCAAUCAUUCCGUUGGGGCUCUGCAUCCCAUCUGAAUGGGUACAUUACCCAUCCAGAAUCAGCCAUCAGCUCUGCUCCGGUAGAACCUGUUGCUCAUUCCACGAUCAAAUAUUAUAACAUUUUGCUCACUCCAUGAUUUGAUGGUACACAUUUUGUAGAUACCAACAAAAGCAGUGUGGUAGUCCAUCGCUGAAUUGUAUUGUCCUUUGCUUCUGGGUAUAGAACUACAUAUCACAUGGACCUCUCCCUGGAAGCAAGCAAUCAUCUUUGACUCGUGAGGUCUAACUUCCCAUUUCUCUUAGAAUUUUAGAAAUGGUACCAUGCUUACAAGUUAAUGUAGGAGAGUUAAUCCGAACUAUACAAAUGAAGUCAGAGUUUAGUUAAACUUGUUAAACAUUUUUCAUAGAUAAUGUAUUUUGUCUUAUGUACUAUAUGUUAUCACGUUUUUUAUGUAAUAUGGGCUCUUUUGUUAUGAAAAAUAAAAUAGGUGUCUUAAGUAUUCUCUCUUCUCCGUUCAGUCCAUCAAACUAAUCCAUGAUAUAUGGUAUGUAGUUCUUCUCUCAUGGAUGAGCGACCACCUGAAGGUGCUUCGGUAUAGUUCUUCCAUUCUUCAAUGAAAUAUUACAUUGACUUUCCAUGGCCUGGAAGAAAAAGACUGUAGUUAAUUUCUGUGGUUGAGAUAAUUACUACAAAAGGUGUUGGUCUUUUGGUCAGGCUGCAGAUUUGGCUAUUUAUGUAUGUUAUUUUAUAAAUUGUAUCUGGUGUUUGCAAAUAGUUGACAUGUUGGCAUUUUUUCUAAGACACAUGAAGUGGAGUUUUGACCUCUUUGAUUAGUGUCCAACAUAUAUGUGUUAGUAUAUGGAAAUUUAACUUUAUUUUUCAUGAUUCCAUGCAUUUGUGGAAG